Molecule: ribosomal RNA, 1343 nt
Filed under: uncultured bacterium
Lineage: Bacteria
Description: 16S ribosomal RNA
Rfam family: Bacterial small subunit ribosomal RNA
Source: RNAcentral
GACGAACGCUGGCGGCGUGCUUAACACAUGCAAGUCGAACGGAAAGGCCCUGCUUUUGUGGGGUGCUCGAGUGGCGAACGGGUGAGUAACACGUGAGUAACCUGCCCUUGACUUUGGGAUAACUUCAGGAAACUGGGGCUAAUACCGGAUAGGAGCUCCUGCUGCAUGGUGGGGGUUGGAAAGUUUCGGCGGUUGGGGAUGGACUCGCGGCUUAUCAGCUUGUUGGUGGGGUAGUGGCUUACCAAGGCUUUGACGGGUAGCCGGCCUGAGAGGGUGACCGGCCACAUUGGGACUGAGAUACGGCCCAGACUCCUACGGGAGGCAGCAGUGGGGAAUAUUGCACAAUGGGCGGAGGCCUGAUGCAGCAACGCCGCGUGCGGGAUGACGGCCUUCGGGUUGUAAACCGCUUUCGCCUGUGACGAAGCGUGAGUGACGGUAAUGGGUAAAGAAGCACCGGCUAACUACGUGCCAGCAGCCGCGGUGAUACGUAGGGUGCGAGCGUUGUCCGGAUUUAUUGGGCGUAAAGGGCUCGUAGGUGGUUGAUCGCGUCGGAAGUGUAAUCUUGGGGCUUAACCCUGAGCGUGCUUUCGAUACGGGUUGACUUGAGGAAGGUAGGGGAGAAUGGAAUUCCUGGUGGAGCGGUGGAAUGCGCAGAUAUCAGGAGGAACACCAGUGGCGAAGGCGGUUCUCUGGGCCUUUCCUGACGCUGAGGAGCGAAAGCGUGGGGAGCGAACAGGCUUAGAUACCCUGGUAGUCCACGCUGUAAACGGUGGGUACUAGGUGUGGGGUCCAUUCCACGGGUUCCGUGCCGUAGCUAACGCUUUAAGUACCCCGCCUGGGGAGUACGGCCGCAAGGCUAAAACUCAAAGGAAUUGACGGGGCCCCGCACAAGCGGCGGAGCAUGCGGAUUAAUUCGAUGCAACGCGUAGAACCUUACCUGGGUUUGACAUGGAUCGGGAGUGCUCAGAGAUGGGUGUGCCUCUUUUGGGGUCGGUUCACAGGUGGUGCAUGGCUGUCGUCAGCUCGUGUCGUGAGAUGUUGGGUUAAGUCCCGCAACGAGCGCAACCCUUGUUCACUGUUGCCAGCACGUUAUGGUGGGGACUCAGUGGAGACCGCCGGGGUCAACUCGGAGGAAGGUGGGGAUGACGUCAAGUCAUCAUGCCCCUUAUGUCCAGGGCUUCACGCAUGCUACAAUGGCUGGUACAGAGAGUGGCGAGCCUGUGAGGGUGAGCGAAUCUCGGAAAGCCGGUCUCAGUUCGGAUUGGGGUCUGCAACUCGACCUCAUGAAGUCGGAGUCGCUAGUAAUCGCAGAUCAGCAACGCUGCGGUGAAUACGUUCCCGGG